Molecule: ribosomal RNA, 199 nt
Filed under: Cladonia subulata
Lineage: Eukaryota; Fungi; Ascomycota; Lecanoromycetes; Lecanorales; Cladoniaceae
Description: 5.8S ribosomal RNA
Rfam family: 5.8S ribosomal RNA (bases 43-196)
About the family: 5.8S ribosomal RNA (5.8S rRNA) is a component of the large subunit of the eukaryotic ribosome. It is transcribed by RNA polymerase I as part of the 45S precursor that also contains 18S and 28S rRNA.
Source: RNAcentral
ACUCUAUUAUCAGUGAUGUCUGAGCAAAUAUUAAAUAAUCAAAACUUUCAACAACGGAUCUCUUGGUUCUGGCAUCAAUGAAGAACGCAGCGAAAUGCGAUAAGUGAUGUGAAUUGCAGAAUUUAGUGAAUCAUCGAAUCUUUGAACGCACAUUGCGCCCCUCGGUAUUCCGGGGGGCAUGCCUGUUCGAGCGUCAUUA